CGUCAUUUAACAUCUGUUGGUGUCAAUCAAUAAAGUGACGAAUUUUAUUAUAUAAGACGCAUGUGUUGCGUUGUCUUCUAAGCCCCCAAAAGGUGAUCGCGCCAGGAGUUGUGUCUCUAUACUCCGUGGCACAGAUAUUGCAUAAUUUAAAGUUACUGUGAAAGGAACUUGACAAUUAUCGCAUAGGAAGAGUUACUGUGUAACCUCUGUUUCCUACAGACAGGAAUUCAAUGAAGCUUUAUGGGAAGCUUCACUACCAAGAGGAGAUGUGCAUAUUAUCAGCGGGUUCUGGUUGGAUGAUUUUUCACAGAGUUAUGGCCCUUUGAAAUUUUCUAUAAACUGUACAUAUAGUGCAAUUCUUGUCCGGGCUGUUUCUCAGCAACUAAUUACCGGAAUUCAAUGAAACUUUAUGGGAAGCUUCACUACCAAGAGGAGAUGUGCAUAUUAUCAGCGGGUUCUGGUUGGAUGAUUUUUCACAGAGUUAUGGCCCUUUGAAUUUUUCUAUAAACUGUACAUAUUGUGCAAUUCUGGUCCGGGCUAUUUCUCAGCAACUAAUGACCGGAAUUCAAUGAAACUUUAUGGGAAGCUUCACUACCAAGAGGAGAUGUGCAUAUUAUCAGCGGGUUCUGGUCAGAUGAUUUUUCACAGAGUUAUGGCCCUUUGAAAUUUUCUAUAAAAAAAUUAUUGUCCCCCCAUCUACUGUGCCCUCAAGACGUUUCCUUUUAUCUGAAUAUAUAGUGCAAUAUUGUGACAAAAAAAACUUUGGGGAGCAUCACCCGUCUCCGACGGUUUCUUGUUACUAGUAUCUAGUAUCUAUUAAAAUCUGUUAAAGUCAUUGACACAUUAUUGUCUGAUAUACUUUAAACUUGCUGUGGAGUUUUUAAUACAAACAUAAACCAUACAUACCCUUGCUUUUUAGCUCACCUGAGCACAACCUGCUCAUGGUGAGCUUUUGUGAUCGCCUUUUGUCCGUCGUGCGUUGUCCGUUGUGCGACGUCAAUAUUUGCCUUGUUCACUCUCUGGAGGCCACAUUUAUUGUCCAAUCUUCAUGAAAUUUGGUCAGAAGAUUGGUCUCAAUGAUAUCUUGGAUGAGUUCGAAAAUGUUUAUGUUUGCUUGAAAAACAUGGCUGCCAAGGGGCGGGGCAUUUUUCCUUAUAUGGCUAUAUAUGGCUAUAUCAAAAUCUUGUUAACACUCUAGAGGCCACAUUUAUUGUCCGAUCCUCAUAAAACUUGGUCAGAAGAUUCAUCCCAAUGAUAUCUUGGACGAGUUCGAAAAUGAUGUCGGUUGGUUUCGAAAAUGGUUUUGGUUGCUUUAAAAACAUGGCCACCAGGGGCGGGGCAUUUUUCAUUUUUUUAUAUGGCUAUAGUAAAACCUUGUUAACACUCUAGAGGCCACAUUUAUUUUCUGAUCUUUAUGAAACUUGCUCAGAUGAUUUGUCCCAAUGAUAUCUUGGAUGAGUUCUAAAAUGGUAACCUUGGCUUGAAAAACAUGGCUGCCAAGGGGCGGGGCAUUUUUCCUUAUAUGGCUAUAUACAUGUAUGACUAUAGUAAAAUCUUGUUAACUUUCUAGUUUGCUCAAUCUUCAUGAAAUUUGGUCAGAAACAUUUGUUUCCUGUGUAGUAAAGUUUGUUUUAUUAUGUCAAUAUUAUGUGACAUUAAGUGUAUUAUGUAAUUUUUCAUAACACGGAAUUUUCAUAGUUAACAUAACAGUUUUAGUCAUUAACAAUUAUGAUAAGCCUUUCAAGUAAGAGAUAUCUGAAAGAAAGACAACAUGUACAUGAUUUUGCAGUAUUUAUGCAGUAUUUAUCUCCCUUGUUUAACCUGGUUCAGUAAUCUAUUUUUAGUUCUGCUCUGGAAUUUGGGAAGAUAUUAAUCAUUGAUAAAUGCACUGUUCUGAGGGAAAAUUGACUACUCUGCUAUUGAUCUCUUCUGAACUGUAUAAAUAAGCUGUUUUGGCUGAUUUAAACACCUCUUGAUGCUUUCUUGAAAAGUUAACAGCUCUUGAAAAAGGUUGGAAUUUUGAAAUAAUUAAACUCUAAAUUAUUUUUAACACCAGCAUCAAGACAUUUUGGCAUUAUUUUCUAAAUUAUUCUUAUUAUUUAGAUUAUUUUUAUUUGGCAUUGUCUAAAUUAGAAAGACUCUAUUCUAUUUCAAUAAAUUUAGUAAUUUUUUCUUAUUUUUACAUUUGAUUCACUGAAGUUUCCUAAUCUCCAUAAAUAUUGUUCUUUAGAUUAAAUUAGACCUAUUUUGUAAACUAGAUUUUUGAAGCACUUUCUAGACUAACAGUAACUUAUAUUUACUGUAAUUACUCUAUGUUUUCAGACACUUAAAAAUAAUUAUUUUUUUCAUGUCCGAAAACUUAGAUACGAAAAAUAUUAAAAAAAUAAAGGUGUCCGAAAACUUAGAGUCGAAAAUGGAAGUGUCUGAAAAAAGCGUCAAUGGUAUCAACGACUACCGGUAAUAGCAUGCGCUUGUAAAAUACCAUGCCGUAUAAAUUACAGUUAUACAUGUUUGCACUGCAUUUUAAAUAAUUGUAAAUGCUUAAUUUAUUUGACAGAAAGUUACUUCAAGGUUGUACUUUGACCAACGAGUUCAAAAAUGAGCAUGUGAUGUACCGAUACACGCUUGUUUGAACCUGUAAUUAACGCAGUAAAAAAAGCAGACUAUGAAUUCUUUAUUAGUUCAUUUCCGAUAGUUGUUGUGUAAUACCUUCCAUUGUUCGUAAAACUUGUAAUAGGGUGCAUCACAAUUUGAAACAUUUAGUAUUUGUCACAGUUAUUUUACUGAGAAGGGAUAGUACCAUUGCGGUAGAUAAUUGAACUGUUAAUUGACACUACCCCUGGUAAUUGUCAUAAUGCUUAUGCUAUCGGCGAAACCAUUGUUUAAUACCGGUUUACAAGGUUAUUUACCCAAUAACGCAAAUGUAAUGUUCCAUUGCCCUCAGGCAUGCACCCGCAAUGUUUUAUGAUGUUAAUCUGGUUGUAAAACCCCAUGAUCGAAGUGUUAUUAGAUAUCGAAAACAGGUUCGAAAUUUGGUAAAAUAGCGCUGUAAAAUAUAUUGUCGGAAAACUUAGAGACAUAAAUAACGGACGAAAACUCGUGUGUCCGAAAAUAAAGAGUCACGAAAAAUAAUUAUUUUUGCUAAAAAAGGGGGUGUCCGAAAUUUUAGAGUGUCCGAAAACAUAGAGUAAUUACGAUAUAUCAGUUUUAUUGACAGAUUUUGAACUUCUUUUUACAUUCAUUAAGGUAUUUACUGUAUGUUGUUCAUUUUUGUAACGAUACUUAGAUUUUUUAGACUUGGCUUGUACCUGUUCUUAAUUUUCUGUCAUUGUUCUUCAUUUUCCGAGUUCUUGGAAUAAAAAUUAGUUAUUUUUGUUUAA
Dreissena polymorpha is the source of this 3380-nucleotide long non-coding RNA. RefSeq lists it as uncharacterized. The transcript has 2 exons. The record is from RefSeq and is a predicted model, not a curated record. Lineage: Eukaryota; Metazoa; Mollusca; Bivalvia; Myida; Dreissenidae.